RNAcentral lists this ribosomal RNA (53 nucleotides) under Metaracoelophrya sp. 1 MCSK-2011. RNAcentral's name for it is "partial 23S ribosomal RNA". Lineage: Eukaryota; Ciliophora; Oligohymenophorea; Astomatida; Radiophryidae. The record is from RNAcentral.
UAGCUCCUGAAGUCAAGCAAGGUCACCCGCUGAACUUAAGCAUAUCAGUAGCG